UGUAGCUACUGAUCCUAUACUACAGCAGAAAGAGUGAGAGUGAAAGGGAGGAGGGACAUCAGGUGUCACAGCUCUGCAACCCCAGUUGAGGCUGCAUUACCACGACAACCAGCUCCAGGGGUGCCGCCAGGUGAGUCUGAGGACACGCACGUACACUCACACAGAUGCUCUUUGACAUAUGCCGCACAUGUGCACAAUGAAGUGCAUCCACAUUGUUUUCACAUAGGGAUGAGUCAAAUAAAAUAGAUGUACAUAUACAGGUGUGCGGCUGCUGAUGCGCUCCACGAUGUUGGUAUUGUCACUUUUCGCAGCCAAUGUUUCAACUCUGCACUCAAGUGUAACAGUGUAUUGUGUAAGCGUGUGCGUUGUUGCUGUCAGUGUGUGUGUGCGUACAUUUGUAGUCAUGCCAAAGUGUACAGUAUAUGUGUGUGUGUGUGUGUACAUACGCCAUACCUCCCCCAGUGGUGGUGAGAGACAAAGGGUCCCCUCUGUCUGGCGCUGUAGCACCGCUUACACGGCUGAUGAUGAUGGGUGGGAAAGUUCUCUCGAUCAGCGAUCAUGUCUGAUCGGAAAAAGAGAAGAAGUCAAAUAGGGUGCUCCAACCCCCCGACCCACCACCACCCUCCCCCCCAUUGCUGUCGAACACUCCUGACUCACGAUGAUAGGAGGACAUGGUCACAGCAGAUGAUCACCCGGUGGGUGGGGGUUGGGGUUGUGGUAGGGGUGGUGGUGUGUUCUGAGGACACGGAGGCGGUGAGGAGGGGAAGGGGGAUGGUGGAGGUGAUGGUCAUGACACUACUGUAGUAUGUGAUGGACGUAUUAUAGAGACACAUGUGUCUAAGGAGGGGUCAUCUACCAUGCACAUGACUGCCCGUGUGAGUGCGUGUGUGUGUGUGUGUGUGUGUGUGUAAGAGAAAGAGAGAUUGUUCGUUCUUGUGAAUGGAAAAGUGUGGGAGCAGGAGCGUAAUGUGCCAAACGGCAAGCCAUCACUGACCGAUAAACUCAGACAAAGGGCGGCGGAUCAUAUGUGCAGACUCAUGUCAUACUCUCGGUAAGUGUGUGUGCGUGUAUGUGUGAGACUUGGGAGAUGGGGGAGGGCUCUGAUGUGAAAUGGUCACGUAUAAGCUGGGCAUCUCUGUCAGCAUGUGUGCGUACAGUGUGUCUGAUCAUGUCUGAGCUUGUCCUGUAAAAAGGUGGCAUUUUUCCUCCAGAAGAUCACGUGCGCAUUGCGCUGCCCUGUUCUCAGUCCUCUCUACCUCUCGGUGCCUGAUGCCCCGACUGUCCCGUUUGGAAGCUGGUCAUCAUCCCACCCCGACUCUACGCCGUCAUACAACGCCACCAGAGCAUGUUCUCUGAGGGAUGUAGACUGUUUCAACCUUGUCAAUUCAGAGCUAGAUUGUCGUCCUCUCUAAACUACUAGCCAUAGAUGCGCUCUUAUCCUUACGUGGCCUUUGUUCAACGUUGCCUAUGCGAUUGCAGGUCUUUGUGCCAAGGCUGCAGUCGUGUGUAGUUUGUCAAGAUGUAGUCCGGUGUUUUAAGGACAGGUCAAAUCUUCACAAAUGCUGAAUCAGAUGGAUAAACUCAUAAAUGACAGUAUACCAUUCAAAGAACGCAGUUUUUGGCUUUCAGAAUGUCCCAUUAUCUCUUAUGCAAGAAUUGACAAUUCCAUCUCUUCCUGAUCAAUUUUAGUUAGUGCCGUGAGGGUGAGACAAAUUAGGUUAGAGAGGGUUUUCAUGGUUGGAGAGCUGACCUUCUACUCUGGGCAUGCAGGUGCAAAGGUCAUACAUUCACUUGCAAUGACACCAGACCGUUCUUUAUGCUGUAACUUGGAAAAACAUAAUUUCUCAAGCAGAAAUGUCCCCCGUCGUUUAACAGAAGUUACAUUAUGAGAUAGCGUGGUGCGUGACAGGUGUGGGCUGUGUUCCUGCUCUGUUCUUUGAGUAUUGUAUACAUCAACGAGAGCGGCAAAAACCACAUUUUAAGCCCACAGCUUCCUUCAAAACGAAAUUAACAGUAACCAAACUGCAGAGUCUGCGUGUAAAAAUGGUGGCGACGAGAACAGGCUGUACAUUUCUCUUUCAGUGCCCUUCUCUUCUUCCUCUCUCUCUCCAUUUCAUCUCGCUGCCUCCCUCCUCUUCCAUUUUAUUCCAUUUCUCACCCUUCCCAUUUCCUCUCUUUUCUCUGAGUUCACAUGCACACACUCAUCCCCCUCCUCCAUAUGUGAGCUCUGACAGUCUGUAGGGCGUGCCCCCCCCCACCAUCCGCUACAUACAUUACAACGAGCCAUGCAGCAUACGUACAUUUACGCCAAGUACAGUCCACACAUGGCUGCACAAUCAGCGACACGCUGGCCGUCAUAUAUGUCCUGGUUUGCACCGUGGGGCCUCUCAAUUGGAAAAGGACAUCGGAGACACAGAGUCAAGAUCCUUUUUCUAGAUUUUGUCCACUGUGUUCGGUGAGUGUAGUGGCACAGUGACUGGAGUAGUACUUAGUUUCAUGUAUGAUGUUGUAACAGGAAAUGUUUGCCAAAGCUACAAUUACACUAAUUGAACACUCCGAAGCAGCCUUGCAAAAUGGCUGCCGAGCCGGCACCCAGUCUGUGAUGGCCGACAAGAAUGAGUAGGUAGGUCUGAGGUGUGUGCGUGGAUAUAGCUGCGCAUGUUUAUACGCAAGUCUUAGAUUGUACGCCUGCUCGUAUACGUGUGUGCUUUUUGUGUUUUUGUGCUAACAUAAUGUGAGAGUAAUCUUUUUACUGACAGCUUUGUGUCAUGGGAAGUCAUCGCUCACCAGAGAUCUGCUAAUCCAUAAUUGCUCAGCUUAAUAUACUUAAACUAUAGGAGCCAUUAAGCCAAACCACCUUCUGUUAAUGCUCAUGUUUGUGUUAACCGGUAAAAGGUGCUAUGAGUAGGCUUUCUGGAUUAGACAGCGAUGGUACCGGGAGUCGCUAGUCUUCCUGUAGUUUCUUGUCCACCAUCUUCAAAAUGUCGGCAUUUUCAAAGACCAGCAUUAAGGCGCUGAAUGUGUUCUGCUAAAGAGCUGACCUUGUUGUUUCUUUACAGCUCUCUGCCUCGCAAGCCCAGCACCGAGCCAGCUAUCCAGCUAUCCUCUCAUCCAUCCAUCCAUCCAUCCAGCCAGCCCGCCCGCCAGCCAGCCAGGCCGGCCCUUCCCUGCCCAGAACUGGCAACCCGCAGGAGUCAUCAGGGUUAGUGCGCCUUUGGCAGGCCUCUGUGCCAAAACCAUCUGUAAGCAUCAGGCACAAAGUGGUAAAUUUAUGGAUCUGCACUUAAUCCGAAGGCCAGACAAUCAAAAAUAUACAUUAAAAGAAGAGAAUGGGCUGAACUUGAGCCUUUCAUAAGACACUCGAAUGGCUGCAGAUUUAUAACCUCAGUGGAGAUUGAAGUGGUG
This 3405-nucleotide long non-coding RNA is filed under the name Xyrichtys novacula (pearly razorfish). The record is from RNAcentral. Lineage: Eukaryota; Metazoa; Chordata; Actinopteri; Labriformes; Labridae.